GGCCUUUUGAUUAUAAUUUAAGGUCGGGCCUGCCCAAUGAUAAAUUUAAUGGCCGCGGUAUAUUAACUGUGCAAAGGUAGCAUAAUCAUUAGUUUUUUAAUUGAAAGCUGGAAUGAAGGGUUUAAUGAAAAAAGUUCUGUUUCUGUUUGAAUUUAUUAGAAUUUUAUUUUUAAGUUAAAAAGCUUAAAUAAUUAUUGAAGACGAGAAGACCCUAUAGAGUUUUAUAUUUAUAAAAAUUAUUGUAUUUGGUAAUUUUAAUUUAAUUUUUAAAAGUAUUUGGUUGGGGUGAUUKAAAAAUUKAAGUAACUUUUUUUUUAUAGAACAUUAAUGUAUGAGUAAAUGAUCCUAUAUUUUAGAUUAAAAGAAAAAAUUACCUUAGGGAUAACAGCGUAAUUUUUUUUAGAGUUCUUAUCAAAAGAAAAGAUUGCGACCUCGAUGUUGGAUUAAAAUAAGUUUUUGGUGCARAAGCUAAAAAACUAGGUCUGUUCGACCUUUAAAUUUUUACAUGAUCUGAGUUUAGACCGGUUUAAG
Molecule: ribosomal RNA, 531 nt
Filed under: Silvacalles pedestris
Lineage: Eukaryota; Metazoa; Arthropoda; Insecta; Coleoptera; Curculionidae
Description: partial 16S ribosomal RNA
Rfam family: Bacterial large subunit ribosomal RNA
Source: RNAcentral